Molecule: small RNA, 156 nt
Filed under: Halobacteroidaceae bacterium
Lineage: Bacteria; Bacillati; Bacillota; Clostridia; Halanaerobiales; Halobacteroidaceae
Description: c-di-AMP sequence
Rfam family: c-di-AMP riboswitch aptamer (ydaO/yuaA leader)
About the family: This family represents a conserved RNA structure found upstream of the ydaO and yuaA genes in Bacillus subtilis and related genes in other bacteria.
Source: RNAcentral
ACGGUUAAAACGCUUAAUUCCAUUUGGAAGCGGGGGACCCACUUUCUUUUGGGGUGAAUCUACUUUUCAAGCUUACUGAUAUAGGAUUGGAAAUGGUAGGGUUACUCUUUCAACCCGAACCCGACAGCUAACUUCGUAGGCGUUGGAAGAGGAAGA